Molecule: unclassified non-coding RNA, 439 nt
Filed under: Hevea brasiliensis (rubber tree)
Lineage: Eukaryota; Viridiplantae; Streptophyta; Magnoliopsida; Malpighiales; Euphorbiaceae
Source: RNAcentral
GUGAAACGUUGGUUCACCAGCAAUUACACAUGAAAAUCAGUUUAUUUGAUGGAGUUUACUUUCUAAGAUUCCAUAAUGGCACAAAGUGAUGUGUCCAGAACCAAUAUGGUGGCAUUGCUAACGCAGGCCAUAUUUUGAUGCUCUUUUGUUGAAACACGAUGUUCCCUUUUCUAAAGCUUGGUUUAAAGUAUUAAGUAUGCUAAAUUUGAGCAUCAUUUAGUUCAUUAUUUGAGUUUGAUAGCAUUUUGUCCUCAUUAAUAGUCUCCUUGCAAUAUUUCCUACAUAAAACAUGAGUGACACGACUGUAUAUCCUGUUUGAGACAAUCAUGUUUCUUUUCUUGUUCUCAUGGCACUUAAUUUUAGUUGAGUUGACUUCCUGAAUUGCUUGUCUUCAAGUCUGAUUCACAUUUUUCUGCAAAAGACAAUAGCUUGGUUUUAU